GAUGAACGCUGGCGGCGUGCCUAAUACAUGCAAGUCGAGCGAACGGACGAGAAGCUUGCUUCUCUGAUGUUAGCGGCGGACGGGUGAGUAACACGUGGAUAACCUACCUAUAAGACUGGGAUAACUUCGGGAAACCGGAGCUAAUACCGGAUGAUAUUUUGAACCGCAUGGUUCAAAAGUGAAAGACGGUCUUGCUGUCACUUAUAGAUGGAUCCGCGCUGCAUUAGCUAGUUGGUAAGGUAACGGCUUACCAAGGCAACGAUGCAUAGCCGACCUGAGAGGGUGAUCGGCCACACUGGAACUGAGACACGGUCCAGACUCCUACGGGAGGCAGCAGUAGGGAAUCUUCCGCAAUGGGCGAAAGCCUGACGGAGCAACGCCGCGUGAGUGGUGAAGGUCUUCGGAUCGUAAAACUCUGUUAUUAGGGAAGAACAUAUGUGUAAGUAACUGUGCACAUCUUGACGGUACCUAAUCAGAAAGCCACGGCUAACUACGUGCCAGCAGCCGCGGUAAUACGUAGGUGGCAAGCGUUAUCCGGAAUUAUUGGGCGUAAAGCGCGCGUAGGCGGUUUUUUAAGUCUGAUGUGAAAGCCCACGGCUCAACCGUGGAGGGUCAUUGGAAACUGGAAAACUUGAGUGCAGAAGAGGAAAGUGGAAUUCCAUGUGUAGCGGUGAAAUGCGCAGAGAUAUGGAGGAACACCAGUGGCGAAGGCGACUUUCUGGUCUGUAACUGACGCUGAUGUGCGAAAGCGUGGGGAUCAAACAGGAUUAGAUACCCUGGUAGUCCACGCCGUAAACGAUGAGUGCUAAGUGUUAGGGGGUUUCCGCCCCUUAGUGCUGCAGCUAACGCAUUAAGCACUCCGCCUGGGGAGUACGACCGCAAGGUUGAAACUCAAAGGAAUUGACGGGGACCCGCACAAGCGGUGGAGCAUGUGGUUUAAUUCGAAGCAACGCGAAGAACCUUACCAAAUCUUGACAUCCUUUGACAACUCUAGAGAUAGAGCCUUCCCCUUCGGGGGACAAAGUGACAGGUGGUGCAUGGUUGUCGUCAGCUCGUGUCGUGAGAUGUUGGGUUAAGUCCCGCAACGAGCGCAACCCUUAAGCUUAGUUGCCAUCAUUAAGUUGGGCACUCUAAGUUGACUGCCGGUGACAAACCGGAGGAAGGUGGGGAUGACGUCAAAUCAUCAUGCCCCUUAUGAUUUGGGCUACACACGUGCUACAAUGGACAAUACAAAGGGCAGCGAAACCGCGAGGUCAAGCAAAUCCCAUAAAGUUGUUCUCAGUUCGGAUUGUAGUCUGCAACUCGACUACAUGAAGCUGGAAUCGCUAGUAAUCGUAGAUCAGCAUGCUACGGUGAAUACGUUCCCGGGUCU
This 1372-nucleotide ribosomal RNA is filed under the name uncultured bacterium. Its description in RNAcentral is "bacterial SSU rRNA". It matches the Rfam family "Bacterial small subunit ribosomal RNA", at positions 28 to 1381 of the family's 1533-position model. The record is from RNAcentral.